GCUUGCUUUCCUGGCGGCGAGUGGCGGACGUGAGUAAUGCUUAGGAAUCUGCCCACUAGUGGGGGAUAGCCCGGGGAAACCCGGAUUAAUACCGCAUAAGCCCUACGGGGGGAAGCUGGGGACCCAGCACCAUGGCCUUUUGGCAGCCGAUCAAGGCGAAAGGCAAAGAGGCUAUGGUGCUGGGCCUGGCGCUAGUGGAUGAGCCUAAGUCCUAUCAGCUAGUUGGUGGGGUAAAAGCCUACCAAGGCGACGACGGGUAGCUGGUCUGAGAGGAUGAUCAGCCACACUGGGACUGAGACACGGCCCAGACUCCUACGGGAGGCAGCAGUGGGGAAUAUUGGACAAUGGGCGAAAGCCUGAUCCAGCAAUGCCGCGUGUGUGAAGAAGGCCUGCGGGUUGUAAAGCACUCUCAGUGGGGAAGAAAAGCUUGGUGUGAAUAGCGCCGAGUCUUGUCGUUACCCAAAGAAGAAGCACCGGCUAACUCCGUGCCAGCAGCCGCGGUAAUACGGAGGGUGCGAGCGUUAAUCGGAAUCACUGGGCGUAAAGCGCGCGUAGGCGGCUAAGUAAGUCGGGUGUGAAAGCCCUGGGCUUAACCCAGGAACUGCAUUCGAUACUGCUUAGCUAGAGUAUGGUAGAGGGAAGCGGAAUUCCGGGUGUAGCGGUGAAAUGCGUAGAGAUCCGGAGGAACACCAGUGGCGAAGGCGGCUUCCUGGACCAAUACUGACGCUGAGGUGC
This 735-nucleotide ribosomal RNA is filed under the name uncultured bacterium. Its description in RNAcentral is "bacterial SSU rRNA". It matches the Rfam family "Bacterial small subunit ribosomal RNA", at positions 78 to 754 of the family's 1533-position model. The record is from RNAcentral.